GACCGGGUGAGUAACACGUGACUACCUACCCUUGAGUGGGGGAUAACCUCGGGAAACCGAGGCUAAUACCGCAUAAUAUCGAAAGAUCAAAGGAGUAAUCCGCUUUUGGAGGGGGUCGCGGCUGAUUAGCUAGUUGGUAGGGUAAUGGCCACCAAGGCGAUGAUCGGUAUCCGGCCUGAGAGGCGCACGGACACACUGGAACUGAAACACGGUCCAGACUCCUACGGGAGGCAGCAGUGGGGAAUUUUGCGCAAUGGGGGAAACCCUGACGCAGCAACGCCGCGUGGAGGAUGAAGUAUCUCGGUACGUAAACUCCUUUCGAUGGGGAAGAUAAUGACGGUACCCAUAGAAGAAGCCCCGGCUAACUUCGUGCCAGCAGCCGCGGUAAUACGUAGGGUGCAAGCGUUAAUCGGAAUUACUGGGCGUAAAGCGUGCGCAGGCGGUUUGCAAGACAGAUGUGAAAUCCCCGGGCUCAACCUGGGAACUGCAUUUGGUGACUGUAGAGCUGGAGUGCGGCAGAGGGGGGAUGGGAA
RNAcentral lists this ribosomal RNA (533 nucleotides) under uncultured bacterium. RNAcentral describes it as "bacterial SSU rRNA". It matches the Rfam family "Bacterial small subunit ribosomal RNA", at positions 100 to 666 of the family's 1533-position model. The record is from RNAcentral.